AACUGCUUGGGAACUGAUAGUCUAGAGUGAGGGAGAGGCAGAUGGAAUUGGUGGUGUAGGGGUAAAAUCCGUAGAUAUCACCAAGAAUACCCAUUGCGAAGGCGAUCUGCUGGAACUCAACUGACGCUAAGGCGCGAAAGCGUGGGGAGCAAACAGGAUUAGAUACCCUGGUAGUCCACGCCCUAAACGAUGUACACUAGUUGUUGGGGUGCUAGUCAUCUCAGUAAUGCAGCUAACGCAUUAAGUGUACCGCCUGGGGAGUACGGUCGCAAGAUUAAAACUCAAAGGAAUAGACGGGGACCCGCACAAGCGGUGGAGCAUGUGGUUUAAUUCGAAGAUACGCGAAGAACCUUACCUGGGCUUGAUAUCCUAAGAACCUUUUAGAGAUAAGAGGGUGCUAGCUUGCUAGAACUUAGAGACAGGUGCUGCACGGCUGUCGUCAGCUCGUGUCGUGAGAUGUUGGGUUAAGUCCCGCAACGAGCGCAACCCACGUAUUUAGUUGCUAACGGUUCGGCCGAGCACUCUAAAUAGACUGCCUUCGUAAGGAGGAGGAAGGUGUGGACGACGUCAAGUCAUCAUGGCCCUUAUGCCCAGGGCGACACACGUGCUACAAUGGCAUAUACAAUGAGACGCAAUACCGCGAGGUGGAGCAAAUCUAUAAAAUAUGUCCCAGUUCGGAUUGUUCUCUGCAACUCGAGAGCAUGAAGCCGGAAUCGCUAGUAAUCGUAGAUCAGCCAUGCUACGGUGAAUACGUUCCCGGGUCUUGUACUCACCGCCCGUCACACCAUGGGAGUUGAUUUCACUCGAAGCCGGGAAU
RNAcentral lists this ribosomal RNA (817 nucleotides) under Campylobacter sp. Its description in RNAcentral is "bacterial SSU rRNA". It matches the Rfam family "Bacterial small subunit ribosomal RNA", at positions 620 to 1434 of the family's 1533-position model. Lineage: Bacteria; Pseudomonadati; Campylobacterota; Epsilonproteobacteria; Campylobacterales; Campylobacteraceae. The record is from RNAcentral.